CUAUCUAACUAUCUGUACGUAUCUGUCUAUCUUUCUAUCUUUAUUAUCUAUACUUUUCGUUUUUAUCUAACGCACCGCACCACUCGUCGGCACAACACCCCCCCGAGUUUGAGAAGACCGUCGAUCGGCUGUCUGGUGGCGUCUACCGUAAUAUCGCGGUAAGGCGUUCGUCGGAUCAUCCAGGUUCGUUGGUCGAUCCCGAUUGCGAUUAGUAGAACGCGUUUCAUCUAGAGGAUAGAUGACGAUAGAUGAAAACGAUUUAAAAACAAUGAGGAAAAGAGCAUUUACUUUUGUUUAUUAUCGCGGUCUCGUUACCAGCGGAUUUGGAUACGGCGAAUGCUAUGAGGCAGAACGGUUGCGUGGGACUUGUUCGAUAAUACGCUCGAA
RNAcentral lists this long non-coding RNA (387 nucleotides) under Polistes fuscatus (common paper wasp). Its description in RNAcentral is "uncharacterized LOC122518760". Lineage: Eukaryota; Metazoa; Arthropoda; Insecta; Hymenoptera; Vespidae. The record is from RNAcentral.